AGCUAACACAGUGUCAGGGACACAGGAAGUGCUUGACGAAUGGGGGCCAUUUCCAGAUUCCAACUGCCAGAAAACCAGAUGACUUCAGCAUCAGUUCUGAGCUGUAAGAUUUCGGUGAAUCCAACCGCUAGAGUGAGAAAGGGGAGAAAAUCCAGCAGCCCUACUUGGAACAGAUACUGUAGCAUCAGCAGUGGAAUAUUAGUGGCAGAGAGCACCUGGCCAAGUUGAAAAAGUGAAGCCUGGAAAUAGGUACUAUUAAAAGGGGCUUUUCAGUGUAAUAAAUUAUUCUCGCAGAGUCUGACUCAGGGGUGUCCUGCAUCAGAACAUUAUCAUAAUGACUUGCUUUGGAACCUCCAGAAGGAAUGCAGCCCCACUGGCCCUUUUUGUGCUUCUGAUGGCCAGAGCUGUAAGAUAAUACAUCUGUGCUGUUUUCAAGGCACUGAUUUUGUGGCAGUUGUUUUUAACAGUAAUAGGAAAGUAAUACUGAGGCUGAAUUCUUUUAAAAAGUGUAAAGUGAUCCUGACAUGAGAAAAAUUGAAAAGUACUGUCCUGGAUCAUGUUGCUCCAUGAUACAGGCCUAGGGGCGUGACGUGGAAAUGGGAAGAAAGGCAGAGCUGGGCGCCAUCAUGUUGCCAUAGUGUCUAGGACCUUGAAUUCCAUUUUUCAAAGGAGAGUGGAUGUGAUUAUUUGUCUGGGCUUUUUUUUGGGUGUGUGUGUGUGUGUCUGUUUGUUUGAAGCAGUGCAGCCCUUUCUUCGCACUGGGAGGAAGCCACAUGCACAGAUUUCCACACACCUGACCUGCUUUGGUUCAAGAAAGAACCAAGGGGCCUCACCUCCCUGCAGCCACUCAAGAGGCCCCUUCGAGUGUGGUGUGCAGAGCCCUGCUUUAGGCCAAGAGCUUAGGAGCUUAAGUUAUGUUAGGAUUUUAGUACCUGCUGUUCACCCCAGUGGGAGGAGGAUUCAAGGGGGAUAAAGCAUGGAGAUCUUCCGGAAGACACGUAAGGGCCUGCAGUAGAGAAAGGAAGUUUGGGGUGGAAACGAGUUGAAUGAAUUGAGAAGUUUCAGACUGAAAACCGGCCAGAGUUGUUGAUGGAAUGUUGUGGGUGUGGUGACUCUCAGUGACCCCACGGAUUCCCAUGUUGGCUGUCUCGUGGCGACAGGGACAGUGGCUCACGUUUACUGAGAUGCACCAUCUGUGUCCACCCUGUAGGCAUGACCAUGUUGAAUCUGCAUGGUGACUCCAUGAGUCUGUACUCUUCCCCGUCUCCCCAUUUUAAAGAUGAGAAAACAGCCAGGACCUCAGGAAAUGGCUAGUAAUAGCUGAACUGGAUUCCAAACCCGUCAUGCUCCAGAACCUGCUCACAGCCAUUUCUUGCACUGUUGGUAACUGUCCACACAAAUAGAUACUGACUGUCCUUCCCCAUUCAGGGUCAUAGAUGGUUCUGAGAAUAUAAUGAAAGCUAUGCAUACAUCCUUGCACUCGUAAUUAUAUGCGAAAGGUUAAACAUGGGUUUUGCUUACAGGUUCAUGCAGUCUGGAAGUUCAGCCAAGGAUCCCCAGAAGUCCGUUAUUCCCAGAGUAAGAACUGGAGCUUUAGGAUCAAUUUUAGUAUUGCUGUUUAAUAGAUGAGCACACAGGCUUGUCAAGGGUUAAUGGAUGUGUCCCACGUCACUCAGCUAGUAAGUGUCAGAGCCUCACCUUAUCCAAGGCCUCGUCUCCUUUCCUCUCCUCCAAACUGCUUUUCCCUUAAGUAAUGCUUCCAGGAGCAUGUAGGAGGCCAGAAGUAUAAUCUUUGAGCUACCAUUAAUUUGCUCAUGACUUUGGACCAAGCAGUAACCUUGUAGUUUCUUAUAUAUAAAAUGGGAACAGUGAUGACCAGUGCUACUUAAAUUAGGGGAAAGUUAUAAAAGUUGAGAAAUUUUAAAGGACUUUUGGCCACACCUGUGGCAUAUGGAAGUUCUCCUGCAACAGAAUGAAACUGAGCCAAAUUCGAGACCUCUGUUACAGCCGUGGCAAUGCCAGGACCUUAUUUGACCCAUCUGGGCCAGGAAUGGAACUAGCAAUACCACAGAGACAAGCCAGAUCAUUAAUCUACCGUGCCACUGUGGGACCUCCCAACGUAAGGGAAUUUCAUUAUUGUGCAAGUUCAAAGUCUGUCCUGCAGAUAAAUUCUACAUUUUUCAUGCGUUACUGCAAUAAAUUCAGAAAAUUAUCUGCAAACUGCAGUUAAGUUUGAAAUAUUUUGAGGUAAUUUUUUUUCUUUCUUUUUCUUGUCUUGACUGCCUUGCUGCAGUUGUACAGUCUAAGUUAUUACAUCUGAUUGGGCAAGCUUGAAGUAUUGAGAGGUGAUUAUGGGUUACAGUUAUCAGUAAUAAUUACCUUUGUUACAGGGCGUAACAUAAAGUCCAGAUUGAUCCAUUCACUCACUCAUUUAUUUAGUAAAUAUUCUUUGUGCAUCUGCAAUAUGCCAGGCAUUGUGCUAAGUGCUAGAGCUGCCUUGGUGACUAAGAAUGGUCCAUGUCCACCCUUAUGGGGCUACCAUUCAUUGUGAAGAGAAAACACAGGCAUCUUGUAUCUCAUUCUUGCUUGCUUUUCACUCCCCCUAACUGACUUUGAUCAAGCUUCUUCCAUUGCUGUGCUCAGGGCUAUCACAGGGCUUUGACACCUGCUAUUCCCUCUGCCUUGAACGUGCUCUUGGCUCUGGGGCCGCAAGACCAACCUCAGUCUGAGUGAAUUUGCUAGAAGAAUUCACAGGACUCAGAAAAGCUUAUGACCAUGAAAAGAAACAGAUUAAAAUCAGAAGGGGGAAAGGACUCGCGGGGCCGGGUCCCAGGUGUCCUUGCCCUGCAGAGUAACACAGACCCCCUUCCUUCACCAGGGAGAAUAUGUGACAGCACGAGUGAAGUGGUGCCACCCAGGGGCCGUCACCCAUGUGGGCAUUCAGGGUCUUUCACUGAGGGGCAGUGUGUCGGCCUGCAACACCUCGUGACCGACCUCAGGCACUCAGACUCUGUCCUCCCAGAGCAAAAACUUGGCCUUCUCCGUAGUCAUGGUAUAGUAUAAACUACCUGCUCCCACUGGAACUGAUGGCUCAAGGCUGCAGGCCUGCAGCAUCGCUCUUGUCAGGUGGGGCUUUCCAGGACGCAGAGCUCGUCUUCCAGGGCCAGUCCUAACAAGAGGCCUUUCUUGGGAAUGUGCAGGGUUUGAACAACCCAGGUCGGCCACGUUAACCUUUUCCUGCAGAGACCUUCAGAUCAUUCCCCCCCGAGCCCAGUUUUUCUAGUUUGAGGUCUCGUGGUACACAGACACACCACUUCUCACAGGGGCAUAUGUUGUUAUUUAACCGCCAUCUCUCUCACUAGACUCUCUCUCCAGUGAUGGGGGGGCCUCCUCUGGUUUUGGUCACUGUAUAUCUCCCACACCUGGCAGGGGGACUAAACUUGCCAUAUAAUAAGGGCUGAGUAUAUAUUUCUUUGAACAAAUGGAUAAAGAAAUGAACACUAGCGCUUGAUUUUGGCUCUAUGAAGGAAACAAACAAGGUGCAAUGCUGGAGAAUUACAUGGUGGGGUUCAUGGUCGGAUGAUUUUAGAGAUCAGCGGAGAAGACCUUCAGAGGAGAGCUGAAAGAUGAGGAGUUCUGGGUGCUGGGAAGGGCUGGGGCUAUUCUAGGAAAAGAACGAAGAGAAAAGUGAGCUUUGGAGUAUUGGGAGUGAGAGGACAGUGGCUUCAGGUGGCAGCUGGAGAAGGUUUGGAGGUCAAGAGGAGUUGGACUGUUUGUCUUUGUGCAGUGGGAAGCUACUGAGGAUUUCCCUGAAGGGUGUUCCACUAACCCAUUUAUGGUUUUAGGUGACUUCUUUUUCUGUCAUGCAAAGAGUAGAUUGGAAGUGUCAGGAGUGGGAGAGGGCAUGGGCCAGUCAGGAGGCUGUUAUGACAGGCUAGCUGGGGAUGGCCAGUCUGUCAGGAGAUGGUGAUGGGGUGGACCAAGGGAAUGGGGAGCAAUGACCUAUGUUUUGGGUUUAGAACUCACCUCUUGAUGGAGGAUGGAUUUGAGGUUGAGAAAAAGAGAAGAGUUCUACAGCUGAGUGUUCAUCUCCUUGGAAUAAAUGUGGCAGAUGCUGAAGUCAAGCAAGGCCCGUUUAACAUGUAGAUCCUUUUCUAAUAUUAAACUGAAAUUGGCAGGCAGUUCAAAAUGAAUUCUUAAAGCAGACAGAGGCUUCGUGUUAUGCUUUUUGGUUCUGAAUGGCUUCCAGCUCAGGGCUUUUGCAGUCAGUCUUAGACACCUCAAAAAGCAGACCCUCGGACAAGGAUUCAAGGAGAAUGGUUUAUUUGGGAGGUGAUUCCCAGGAGCCAUCAUAGGGGAACAGGAAUAGGAAAUGGGAAAGGAAGCAACCAUCAUGGGGCAGAUUAGUGCUUCAGGCGUUUGGAUCUUAGUCCUAUUUGGGACUCAAGGCUCAGAGAAUUCCUGAGCUCUGGUGGCCAGGGGAACCCUCAAGGCAAAGAGGUGCAGAGGUUGGCAGUUGGAGCAUAAUGCAGAAUAAUGGCCAGGCCCAUAUGGUGGGGUCUGGACAGCUUAUGCCACACAGUGAAAAUAACAUCAACAGUUACUGGCGUUCCUGUUGUGGCGCAGCAGAAACAAAUCUGACUAGUAUCCAUGGGAUGCUGGUUCUAUCCCUGCCCUCACUCAGUGGAUUGGGGAUCCGGCAUCUCUGUGAGCUGUGUGGUGUAGGUCGAAGAUGCAGCUCGGAUCCUGUGUUGCUGUGGUUGUGGUGUAGGCUGGCAGCUACAGCUCUGAUUAGACUCCUAGCCUGGGAACUUCCAUGUGCUGCAGGUGUGGUCCUGCAAAGCAAAAAAA
RNAcentral lists this long non-coding RNA (4851 nucleotides) under Sus scrofa (pig). RNAcentral describes it as "lncRNA (ENSSSCG00000063039.1)". The record is from RNAcentral. Lineage: Eukaryota; Metazoa; Chordata; Mammalia; Artiodactyla; Suidae.